CGAGCCGGCCGGACGGCCGCGUCGGGAGGCCACUGGCCGAGGUCAAGGGUCUCCCGCCGAGGAAAGUCCGGGCUCCACAGGGCAAGGUGGUCGGUAACGCCGACCCGGGGUGACCCGCGGGACAGUGCCACAGAAAGCAGACCGCCACCGGUUCGCCGGUGGUAAGGGUGAAACGGUGAGGUAAGAGCUCACCAGCGCCCACGGUGACGUGGGCGGCUCGGUAAACCCCACCUGGAGCAAGGUCAAGAAGGUGAGCCGACAGGCUCUCCGCGCAGGCGUUCGAGGGCUGCCCGCCCGAGCCUGCGGGUAGGUCGCUGGAGACCGCCGGCAACGGCGGUCCGAGAUGGAUGGCCGUCGCCCGCCCGCCGCAAGGCGCGGCGGGGCACAGAACCCGGCUUACAGGCCGGCUCGUCCG
This 415-nucleotide RNase P RNA is filed under the name Actinomadura rudentiformis. RNAcentral's name for it is "Bacterial RNase P class A". It matches the Rfam family "Bacterial RNase P class A". From Rfam's summary of the family: Ribonuclease P (RNase P) is a ubiquitous endoribonuclease, found in archaea, bacteria and eukarya as well as chloroplasts and mitochondria. Its best characterised activity is the generation of mature 5'-ends of tRNAs by cleaving the 5'-leader elements of precursor-tRNAs. Lineage: Bacteria; Bacillati; Actinomycetota; Actinomycetes; Streptosporangiales; Thermomonosporaceae. The record is from Rfam by way of RNAcentral.